Molecule: ribosomal RNA, 446 nt
Filed under: uncultured bacterium
Lineage: Bacteria
Description: bacterial SSU rRNA
Rfam family: Bacterial small subunit ribosomal RNA
Source: RNAcentral
ACACUAGUGAGAGGUUCUCCAACGAGUAUUUAGUGGCGACGGGUGAGUAACACGUUGGAACCUGCCCCGAAGUGGGGAUAACGUAGCGAAAGUUACGCUAAUACCGCAUAUUCUGUGUGCAGGAAAGCAGGGGAUCGCAAGACCUUGCGCUGAUUGAGCGGCCGAUAUCAGAUUAGCUAGUUGGUGAGGUAAAGGCUCACCAAGGCGACGAUCUGUAGCGGGGUCUGAGAGGAUGAUCCGCCACACUGGAACUGAGACACGGUCCAGACUCCUACGGGAGGCAGCAGUGGGGAAUUUUGGACAAUGGGGCAACCCUGAUCCAGCCAUGCCGCGUGAGUGAAGAAGGCCUUCGGGUUGUAAAGCUCUUUCGGCCGGGAAGAAAUCGCAUGGGUUAAUACCCUGUGCGGAUGACGGUACCGGCAUAAGAAGCACCGGCUAACUACGUG